RNAcentral lists this ribosomal RNA (442 nucleotides) under uncultured Acholeplasma sp. RNAcentral's name for it is "bacterial SSU rRNA". It matches the Rfam family "Bacterial small subunit ribosomal RNA", at positions 933 to 1382 of the family's 1533-position model. Lineage: Bacteria; Bacillati; Mycoplasmatota; Mollicutes; Acholeplasmatales; Acholeplasmataceae. The record is from RNAcentral.
UGGAUCAUGUUGUUAAUUCGAUGAUACGCGAAGAACCUUACCAGGUCUUGACAUCCCCCGCGAUGCUUUAGAGAUAAAGCGGAGGUAUUCGGGGAGACAGGUGGUGCAUGGUUGUCGUCAGCUCGUGUCGUGAGAUGUUGGGUUAAGUCCCGCAACGAGCGCAACCCUAUUGCUAGUUACCAUCAUUAAGUUGGGGACUCUAGCGAGACUGCCAGUGAUAAACUGGAGGAAGGUGGGGAUGACGUCAAAUCAUCAUGCCCCUUAUGACCUGGGCUACAAACGUGAUACAAUGGCUGGAACAAAGGGAUGCGAAGCAGUGAUGUGGAGCGAAACCCAUAAAAACAGUCUCAGUUCGGAUUGAAGUCUGCAACUCGACUGCGUGAAGUCGGAAUCGCUAGUAAUCGUGAAUCAGAAUGUCACGGUGAAUACGUUCCCGGGCCUU